This 253-nucleotide ribosomal RNA is filed under the name uncultured bacterium. RNAcentral's name for it is "partial 16S ribosomal RNA". It matches the Rfam family "Bacterial small subunit ribosomal RNA", at positions 524 to 776 of the family's 1533-position model. The record is from RNAcentral.
UACGGAGGGUGCAAGCGUUAAUCGGAAUUACUGGGCGUAAAGCGCACGUAGGUGGUUUGUUAAGCCAGCUGUGAAAUCCCCGGGCUCAACCUGGGCACUGCAGUUGGAACUGGCAAGCUAGAGUAGGGUAGAGGGGUGUGGAAUUCCAGGUGUAGCGGUGAAAUGCGUAGAUAUCUGGAGGAACAUCAGUGGCGAAGGCUACACCCUGGACUCAUACUGACACUGAGGUGCGAAAGCGUGGGGAGCAAACAGG